RNAcentral lists this ribosomal RNA (817 nucleotides) under Lactobacillus gasseri. RNAcentral describes it as "bacterial SSU rRNA". It matches the Rfam family "Bacterial small subunit ribosomal RNA", at positions 641 to 1456 of the family's 1533-position model. Lineage: Bacteria; Bacillati; Bacillota; Bacilli; Lactobacillales; Lactobacillaceae. The record is from RNAcentral.
CUUGAGUGCAGAAGAGGAGAGUGGAACUCCAUGUGUAGCGGUGGAAUGCGUAGAUAUAUGGAAGAACACCAGUGGCGAAGGCGGCUCUCUGGUCUGCAACUGACGCUGAGGCUCGAAAGCAUGGGUAGCGAACAGGAUUAGAUACCCUGGUAGUCCAUGCCGUAAACGAUGAGUGCUAAGUGUUGGGAGGUUUCCGCCUCUCAGUGCUGCAGCUAACGCAUUAAGCACUCCGCCUGGGGAGUACGACCGCAAGGUUGAAACUCAAAGGAAUUGACGGGGGCCCGCACAAGCGGUGGAGCAUGUGGUUUAAUUUGAAGCAACGCGAAGAACCUUACCAGGUCUUGACAUCCAGUGCAAACCUAAGAGAUUAAGAGUUCCCUUCGGGGACGCUGAGACAGGUGGUGCAUGGCUGUCGUCAGCUCGUGUCGUGAGAUGUUGGGUUAAGUCCCGCAACGAGCGCAACCCUUGUCAUUAGUUGCCAUCAUUAAGUUGGGCACUCUAAUGAGACUGCCGGUGACAAACCGGAGGAAGGUGGGGAUGACGUCAAGUCAUCAUGCCCCUUAUGACCUGGGUUACACACGUGCUACAAUGGACGGUACAACGAGAAGCGAACCUGCGAAGGCAAGCGGAUCUGUGAAAGCCGUUCUCAGUUCGGACUGUAGGCUGCAACUCGCCUACAAGAAGCUGGAAUCGCUAGUAAUCGCGGAUCAGCACGCCGCGGUGAAUACGUUCCCGGGCCUUGUACACACCGCCCGUCACACCAUGAGAGUCUGUAACACCCAAAGCCGGUGGGAUAACCUUUAUAGGAGUCAGCCGU